RNAcentral lists this ribosomal RNA (274 nucleotides) under uncultured bacterium. RNAcentral describes it as "partial 16S ribosomal RNA". It matches the Rfam family "Bacterial small subunit ribosomal RNA", at positions 523 to 796 of the family's 1533-position model. The record is from RNAcentral.
AUACGGGGGGAGCAAGCGUUGUCCGGAAUCAUUGGGCGUAAAGGGCACGUAGGCGGUUUCUUAAGUCGAAUGUGAAAUCUCACGGCUCAACCGUGAAACUGCGUUCGAAACUAAGUGACUUGAGUUUGGGAGAGGUGUACGGAAUUCCUGGUGUAGCGGUGGAAUGCGUAGAUAUCAGGAAGAACACCAAUGGCGAAGGCAGUACACUGGCCUGAAACUGACGCUGAGGUGCGAAAGCGUGGGGAGCAAACAGGAUUAGAUACCCGGGUAGUCC